AAAUUUCCUAAUUAAUUUAUUUGAAGCCAUUUGAUUCUUUGAUCUUUUGUCAAUCUAUUCCAAAAAGGUCUAUUUUUAUCAUUCUUUCUUAAUCUUCUUCAAAAAAUUCAUGUCUUAAGAGUUCUUCAAAUUUCUUCUAUAAUAUAGUUUCAAUAUGCAAAUUUUGUAGCUUCUCUCUAAUUUUUGAUAUCACAACCAAAUCAAAAGUAGUAAUCAUCUUU
This 221-nucleotide long non-coding RNA is filed under the name Physcomitrium patens. Its description in RNAcentral is "long non-coding RNA (PPAT_LNC014304)". The record is from RNAcentral. Lineage: Eukaryota; Viridiplantae; Streptophyta; Bryopsida; Funariales; Funariaceae.